This 1089-nucleotide long non-coding RNA is filed under the name Citrus maxima (pomelo). RNAcentral's name for it is "long non-coding RNA (CMAX_LNC003464)". The record is from RNAcentral. Lineage: Eukaryota; Viridiplantae; Streptophyta; Magnoliopsida; Sapindales; Rutaceae.
GCGAACACUAGCAAUCCGCCAUAAAAAUAUCCUCUAUUUUCAUUGAUGAUCAUAUAUAUCUCUUUAUGGACAGCUACACCCUAUGACUAGUGACCUAAGGACGUGUUUGGCGCCCCGCAUAACACGGUAUUAGAACUUCACAUUGUAUUAAAAUAUUACAAUACAAUGUUUUGCAGUUACUCGGUAUUGCAUAAGAAAAAAUAAUAAUGCGGUAAAGCCCGCAUAAUAGAAACCCGAGAGAGAGUUGGGUAUAUAUCGCAUUGCAUUACAUUUUCAUUCAUUGUUCGUUUUGCAUCAUGUCAUGAAAUCUCAAGAGCGGUCCAAUUGAGCAUAAAAGCAAAUCCCUUGCAACUUUCAAGAGUCCAAAAAUGGGAGAACAAAGCCAGUUGCUAGUAACCAAAAAAUAAAAAAUUCAUCUUUUCCUCUUCCAAACGUGUCAAGCAAUUUCUUCUUCUCCUUUCCUCCAAAUGCACAGCAUCUUAGCUCCACCACCAUGCCAUCUUGAUUUGCCACGCAACACUGCAACUCCACCACCUCGCGUCGUGUGAUAACCAACUUCACCGCCACUAUCGCACGACACCACCAGCUCCAAUGCCUUCACUAUCUACCUAUGUCAAGCUCAUAUCACAAACCUUUAAAAGAACAUAAACCAUUCACCAAUAAAGAACCAAAAAAAAAAAAAAAAAACUAGAUUCCAAAGUCAAGCUCAAAUCAUAAAUCAAUAAACUCAUUCGCUAAUCUCUCAAAUAAACCAAAGAUCAAAACUUUAUAUGAAAAAAAUCAAACCUCUUUUUGAUAAGUAGCAGUCUUUGUGCCCGUUCAAGAUGAAAAAUGAUUAUGAAUUGACACUUUAAAGAAACAAGAUUUGUGUUGCGAUCAAAUUGUGGUUGCCAAUUGGGAGUUGUGACAAAAGGUAGUUGGUGAUUAGUUGAUAAAAAAAGGUUGGAGAGAAAAAACGAAGUGGGUAAAGGGACCAGGGAGGUGGUUGGUGAUUAAAUUGUAGUUGGAAAUUAGGAGUUGUGAUGGGUGAUUGUGGUUUUGAACUAAUCUUGUAAAUUUAAAUUAUUUAUUUAUGUUGCGAUAUUAUUU